This 298-nucleotide long non-coding RNA is filed under the name Vitis vinifera (wine grape). RNAcentral's name for it is "long non-coding RNA (VVIN_LNC004145)". Lineage: Eukaryota; Viridiplantae; Streptophyta; Magnoliopsida; Vitales; Vitaceae. The record is from RNAcentral.
AAAUGGCGCCGUUGCCGGGGAAGGUGCUACUUCACUGUGAAUAUAUCAGCCGGAGGUAACUUGUGAGACUUCUCAUGAGUAAGGUGAAUUCUAUCUCAUUUUUUUUUAUUUACUAACUUUUUAUUUUAAUUUUAGAACAUUUUUAACUUAGUUUAGAUAAGUUUCUUUUAGCUUUUAACUUUCAUUUUUAGUUUAUUUUUCAUACUCUGUUUUUCCUUCCGCAUGCUCUGUUUUUUUUUUUUUUCUUUUUCUUUGUUUUGUUUAUUUGUUUUGUUCCAACUGAAUCCAUGCAUGCCCU